ACGCCCUCCGGUUCUAACCUCUUUUAGCAAGAAGAAGCGAAAGCGACUGUACUGCAGAAAAAGCGCCGGCUAACUUCGUGACAGCAGCCGCUGUAAUCGUAAGGGCGCAAGCGUUGUCCGGAAUUAUUGGGCGUAAAGAGCUCGUAGGCGGUUUGUCGCGUCUGGUGUGAAAACUCAAGGCUCAACCUUGAGCUUGCAUCGGGUACGGGCAGACUAGAGUGUGGUAGGGGUGACUGGAAUUCCUGGUGUAGCGGUGGAAUGCGCAGAUAUCAGGAGGAANNNNNAUGGCGAAGGCAGGUCACNNNNNNNNNUACUGACGCUGAGGAGCGAAAGCAUGGGGAGCGAACAGGAUUAGAUACCCUGGUAGUCCAUGCCGUAAACGUUGGGCACUAGGUGUGGGGCUCAUUCCACGAGUUCCGCGCCGCAGCUAACGCAUUAAGUGCCCCGCCUGGGGAGUACGGCCGCAAGGCUAAAACUCAAAGGAAUUGACGGGGGCCCGCACAAGCGGCGGAGCAUGCGGAUUAAUUCGAUGCAACGCGAAGAACCUUACCAAGGCUUGACAUACACCGGAAUCGGCCAGAGAUGGUCGCGUCUUCGGACUGGUGUACAGGUGGUGCAUGGUUGUCGUCAGCUCGUGUCGUGAGAUGUUGGGUUAAGUCCCGCAACGAGCGCAACCCUCGUCCUAUGUUGGCAGCACGUCAUGGUGGGGACUCAUAGGAGACUGCGGGUCAACUCGGAGGAAGGCGGGGNUGACGAA
Molecule: ribosomal RNA, 757 nt
Filed under: uncultured bacterium
Lineage: Bacteria
Description: bacterial SSU rRNA
Rfam family: Bacterial small subunit ribosomal RNA
Source: RNAcentral